Molecule: long non-coding RNA, 370 nt
Filed under: Nicotiana benthamiana
Lineage: Eukaryota; Viridiplantae; Streptophyta; Magnoliopsida; Solanales; Solanaceae
Description: long non-coding RNA (NBEN_LNC030322)
Source: RNAcentral
CCUGCAUUUCCAUUCUUUGUGAGCGCUUAUACUCAAAAGUAGAUAUUAGGAAUAGGAAGUAAUGAAUGGAUUUCAGAAAGUACUGAAAUCAGACAAGGUGUAAUUUGGAUUUAUAUGUUUCUCAAUAUCAUUUGCUGAAAAACAUCCAGAUCAAAAUAAUUCAGUUCUUGAUUCCCAAAAGGCUUAUUUCAUCAAUCAUCAGCUAAAGCACAUGGUCUAGUAUUUGCAUGAAGUGAAAUUAAACUUAACUUAUUUCAUCAAUCAUCAGCUAAGCGCAUGGUCUAGUAUUUGCAUGAAGUCAAAUUAAACUUAAACCAGUUUCAUUGCAAUUGUCAAUUUAACAGUGAAUCCUGUUGAAAAGAUAUGAAAC